GAUGAACGCUGGCGGCGUGCCUAAUACAUGCAAGUCGAGCGAACAGACGAGGAGCUUGCUCCUUUGACGUUAGCGGCGGACGGGUGCGUAACACGUGGGUAACCUACCUAUAAGACUGGGAUAACUUCGGGAAACCGGAGCUAAUACCGGAUAAUAUUUCGAACCGCAUGGUACGAUAGUGAUAGAUGGCUCUGCUAUCCCUUAUCGCUGGACCGGCGCCGGAUUAGCUAGUUGGUAAGGUAACGGCUUACCAAGGCAACGAUACGUAGCCGACCUGAGAGGGUGAACGGCCACACUGGAACUGAGACACGGUCCAGACUCCUACGGGAGGCAGCAGUAGGGAAUCUUCCGCAAUGGGCGAAAGCCUGACGGAGCAACGCCGCGUGAGUGAUGAAGGUCUUCGGAUCGUAAAACUCUGUUAUUAGGGAAGAACAAACGUGUAAGUAACUGUGCACGUCUUGACGGUACCUAAUCAGAAAGCCACGGCUAACUACGUGCCAGCCGCCGCGGUAA
Molecule: ribosomal RNA, 513 nt
Filed under: uncultured bacterium
Lineage: Bacteria
Description: partial 16S ribosomal RNA
Rfam family: Bacterial small subunit ribosomal RNA
Source: RNAcentral